CUUUUACGAGCCACGCCCGUGAGGAAUGCUGGUAUGCAGCCUACUGAGUAAAUGUUCCAUGCAGUUCUGUCCUCAAGAUAUGGCUUAUCCACCUGAUGGUCCACUGGAACAACGGUUCUGAUUUCAUAUUUUUGCACGCGCACUGUGAAGAGGCACUUCAUACCAUCAUUCCUCUACAAUCUGUUAUUUCGCCACUCGCCCUCCGGUAAUAACGCUUGAGCUGGGCCGGUAGCCUCUACCAUACCUGUUGAACAGACGCCCGACCGUUAUGGGGCCCAUCCUGUUGUGCAAGUGAAAUCCACUUCGUUCACCAGUGGUCCACUCACACAGCAUACUCUACUGCAAGAAACUAAAGACAAUGAAUCAGAUACUGUACUACCCAUUUUCUAGACAUGGCCGCCCCAUAUCGUAGGAUCUUGAUCAGAUGGUUAAGGACUGCCCAAUCAGAGCCAAAACUCACAGAUUCAGGCCCACCAAUCUGAUUAUCAGUAUCAAUCAAGGGAGUAGUCGUACAUACAGUACUGUGAUAGCAGUGCCCUGCUCACGUGGGAAGCACUCGGGCCCACAUAUAUUAUUGUGGCAUGCAUGCCAGAUCUGGCAAUACAGCAGGUGGGC
This is a long non-coding RNA of Magnolia sinica, 615 nucleotides long. RefSeq lists it as uncharacterized. The transcript is spliced from 4 exons. The record is from RefSeq and is a predicted model, not a curated record. NCBI's taxonomy places the organism in Eukaryota, Viridiplantae, Streptophyta, Magnoliopsida, Magnoliales, Magnoliaceae.